AGGGCAAGUCUGGUGCCAGCAGCCGCGGUAAUUCCAGCUCCAAUAGCGUAUAUUAAAGUUGUUGCAGUUAAAAAGCUCGUAGUUGAAUUUCGGGGUUAGUAGGUUGGUCGUGCCUCAGGUAUGUACUGAUCUCACUGAUUCCUCCUUCCUGAUGAACCGUAAUGCCAUUAAUUUGGUGUUGCGGGGAAACUGGACUGUUACUUUGAAAAAAUUAGAGUGUUUAAAGCAGGCUAACGCUUGAAUACAUUAGCAUGGAAUAAUGAAAUAGGACGUUCGAUCCUAUUCUGUUGGUUUCUAGGAUUGACGUAAUGAUUAAUAGGGAUAGUUGGGGGCAUUAGUAUUCAAUUGUCAGAGGUGAAAUUCUUGGAUUUAUUGAAGACUAACUACUGCGAAAGCAUUUGCCAAGGAUGUUUUCAUUAAUCAAGAACGAAAGUUAGGGGAUCGAAGACGAUCAGAUACCGUCGUAGUCUUAACCAUAAACUAUGCCGACUAGGGAUCGGACGAUGUUAACUUUUCUUGACUCGUUCGGCGCCUUACGGGAA
Molecule: ribosomal RNA, 542 nt
Filed under: uncultured Glomeromycotina
Lineage: Eukaryota; Fungi; Glomeromycota
Description: SSU rRNA
Rfam family: Eukaryotic small subunit ribosomal RNA
Source: RNAcentral